RNAcentral lists this ribosomal RNA (610 nucleotides) under uncultured bacterium. RNAcentral describes it as "bacterial SSU rRNA". It matches the Rfam family "Bacterial small subunit ribosomal RNA", at positions 202 to 799 of the family's 1533-position model. The record is from RNAcentral.
AAAAGUUGGGGAGACCUGACGCUGAAAGAUGGACUCGCGUCCCAUUAGCUAGUUGGUAGGGUAAUGGCCUACCAAGGCGACGAUGGGUAGCCGGCCUGAGAGGGUGGCCGGCCACACUGGGACUGAGACACGGCCCAGACUCCUACGGGAGGCAGCAGUGGGGAAUUUUGCGCAAUGCUCGUAAGAGUGACGCAGCGACGCCGCGUGAAUGACGAAGGCCUUCGGGUCGUAAAGUUCUUUCGACAGGGAAGAAAAUGCCUAUAAGUAACUGUGUAUGUAUUGACGGUACCUGUAUAAGCAGCCCCGGCUAACUCCGUGCCAGCAGCCGCGGUAAUACGGAGGGGGCGAGCGUUGUUCGGAGUGACUGGGCGUAAAGAGCACGUAGGCGGUGUUGUAAGUCAUUAGUCAAAGACUAGAGCUCAACUUUAGUAAGGCUAGUGAUACUAUAAUACUAGAGUAUCAGAGAGGAUUGCAGAAUUCCUGGUGUAGCGGUGAAAUGCGUAGAUAUCAGGAGGAAUACCGUUAGCGAAGGCGGCAAUCUGGCUGGAAACUGACGCUGAGGUGCGAAAGCGUGGGUAGCAAACAGGAUUAGAUACCCUGGUAGUCCACG